AGGUUUUUUACUUUUAAAACGGUAAUUGAUAAAUCGACAAACGAUCAAAUUCAAACCGAUGUACCCAUCAAACCAGAGUAAUAGAAUACGAUGAUGGUGAUGAUGAUGAUGAUGAAGUCGAUGAUGGUUAAAAACGUGCCCAUUUUACUGAUCUGGCAACAGCUAUAUUUUGUUCGUACCUUCGGUGUUGGAUUUUCGAACGGGGAAUUCUCCUGGGAUCAGAUGAAUCUUGCUGCUGUUCUCACUGAUCCUUCGUUGAUUACACAUGUUUUUACUUCGUGAAAACAAGCUGUCGGUAUUAGUUUGCUAGUAUCCGCGAUUUCAACUGAAACAAAUUAAUGUAGCAAAACUGUUUGAAAUCAGUAUUUUAUCAGUUCCUUGUAUAGACUACUUAGCAAUGAAUGUGGAUGAGGAAGGCUUGAGAGAUGUUUUAAGAAGAGUUGAAGAUGCUGAAAAGAAGAACUUUGAGUUUGCUGUUGGAACCCAAAUGGUUGAAGAAAACAUAUUGCCCAUGUUUAGCGUAGAAGGUUUGGGUACCAUACCUGUGCCGGUAACAAUUAAGGAUGUUAAUCGUUUGAAAAAAGUUAGUGAACCCACCCUUUGCUGCAAGAGUAGUGAUGGAAUGAUGUCUGGCAACAAGGGGAAGAAAGCCAGCUGGCAAAUGGAUGCAGGUCAUAUUAUUCGUCAUGGCGACAUCGCGGAGAUAUUUUUUCGUCAAACGGUACCAUCUUUGGCUGCCGUUGGGCUGCAACAAUUAGGUUUGGUUGAGAAUGAGCUUCCUCUAGUAGAAGUCCGACCACAUAGUGUUUUAAUAAUUGAACGUGGUGGAUGCGCACCUCGCCAUCGCGACGCUGAAUGCGAACCAGGAACAUUUGGCGUGAUGUUCCUGCAAAUCCCCGUAAAAAAUGGCUAUGAAGGUGGAAUUUUAAAAGUGAAUCAUCAAAAAGAAAGUCGUAUCUUUGAUAAUUCUCAAAACAGUAAACGUUGCUUUUAUACUACCAUUUUUUUCACUGGCUGCGAACACGAGUUAACCGAGGUGAAGCAGGGCUGGAGAAUUGUCUUUACUUUCAGCCUUGUCUGGAAAUGGACUCGCUCACUAUUUGUGCCGUUACCAGCUGACGCGUCGCUCCUUUUCGCAGCUAAGGAGAUCGAACGGAUCCUGUCUCCUUGGCGCCUUCCCGAUGACGCUCAGCGGAGAUGCUUGGCCAUCCCGUUAGAGCACAAUUAUACAGUUGCCAAUCUUUCAUUUGCCGGACUUAAAGGUCGUGAUCGCCUGACAGCCAGUCUUCUCCGAUCUGUCAACUUUGUAGAUCUCCAUUUGGCUAGCGUUCGCCAUCGCAUGAAGCCUCCUACAAGCACAAUUUCGAACACGGACAAUCCUUUAUUACAAAGAGUUUUGAAGAAAGAAGAAUAUCGUACCGAGUGUUGGGUUUCUUCUCACACGGACGCUCCUCUUGCGUACCAAGGUCUAGAAAUCGAUUUUGAUUCGGAGGUGGUGUAUCCUCUGUUUAGCCGUUUGCAAACCAACUGGGACGACACGGAAUCUCGGAAUUCAACGAACCACGAAGAGGAAUCGUCAUUGGAUUGUAUUUACUGCCAGGCGUUUCUAGUAGUUUGGCCGAAGACGAGCACUAUUGAUCUGGCUUGCCGAAGUGAGUUAUUAUUAUUUAUAGGUUUCAUGGGAGCCCUAGACUUGCUCGAAUGUUUAGCAAGGACAUUACCCGCAGAAGAAGUACUUUUUGUAUUGGGUAGAACCAUGACUUUCUGUUGUGCCAAUCCCCAGCUUGUAUGGUGUCCUAGUAGGAAACCGUCCUCACCGGCCGGCCAAGUAACGUAUCGCCUGCUGCAACUUUGUAUCGAUUUAGAUGCUAUCGACCAGGGACUAAUUCUGCUCAACUUGAUUACCGACGAUCUCCAGACUGUUAGAAGCAAAAUGUUGGCGAAGGAUCAGCAUGAUAUUGCAACGGCAGAAAUUGAAGGGCUACAGACUAAUGAAAUUGCUGUCACCUUAGCUAAACUUAUUGCCCUGGCAGGCUGGGAUUCCUGUGAAGAAGCCAUUAGGCGUUUUCUCACUCCCGUGAGGAUGGCUAAACAAAUGGAACCGUUGACUGUCUUCGUAACGUCGUUGAUCAGUCACGGACUUCACGCAAAUGCUGUCUACGUAGCCAACCAUCUCUGCCCGGUUUUAUUUGCAUCUCCACUUUGUUGGAAAUCGUCGACGUAUAACACAGCAGCUGAAAUGGUGUUUCGGCUCGAAGAAUGGAGUGAAUCAAGUAAUCUAUUGCGCGUUGAAGGAUAUCUAGAACUGGCUCGAGCAAUCGAAUCCACACAUCUUUGUCAAGUCAUUAUCUACGUUCAUAAGAAGUUAAGUCAGUUUGUGAAAAAUAUUCCUGGAAUGAAACAUUUCUACCAAGCACUUAGCCAAAUUUUGGUUGAACGGGAUUUUUUCAGCCUUCGGUCCGUUUCAGAGAAAGGCGAACCAAUCGUCGUCAAUGUAUUCAAGUGUUUGCUCUGGCUAAAUGAUUCCGCUGUUCUCAAAGCAUUUCUAAGGCAAAUUACAAUGCCUACUGGACGAAACAAUUAUUGUUUGCAAGUAGUGCUGGCUUCCUCAGCCAUAUGGAAGGUAUGUUUAGCUUCAGAAGAUGGCAAGAAUGUUUUGCAAAUGUUGAUAGACAGUCGACUUCGAGAGCUUAGCCUUUUGAAACCGCCAGUCUUUUCUUGGCAGCAAAUGGAAGCUGAAAUACCAAAUUGUCCGGAAGUGGAAUAUUUUCUACGAUCACAUCAGCUUUCAACGACCUUUUCUCGAAGAUUUCCCACCGUCAACGAAGCGCGUCUUUGGGCUAAUGAAAUAUUUGGAUUCGGCUUUGAAGUGCUCGCCAGCCCCGAUAGUCAAUUUUUUGUCAACCAUCGUUAUAGCGCAACUGUUCAUGUCAAGAAGAUUGCCGGUGGAUUUGCUGUUUGCGAAAUAACCAAAAACCGACGUCUUUUCGAGUAUGAUGUCCGUCAAUUUGAACUAAGGCAGGAGGAGAUUGCCGAAUUGAUUGAGCGACGCCAAAUGGAGAUCCCUCAUGAACCGACCGCUCGCCCUCAAAAAAGAAGGAAGACAACGAAUCAAGAAAGAAUUUGCUGAAGAAAUUGCUUUUGCUGUUUACCUCAGUUACAAGUCACCUUACAAAGAAUGGCUUUUGGGUGACCUUUGAUCUAACGAUCUCCUGACAAAACUUCACUCUGGGGCAAAAGGGAAUUAUUUCCGAAAAGUUCAUUGGUUUAAAUCCAACUUUCGACGUAAACAACGCAUUUAAACGUGUACAUUUCAUUAUAGCAUAAUUUUUUAUUGAAGGUAAAUAAA
Molecule: unclassified non-coding RNA, 3349 nt
Filed under: Daphnia magna
Lineage: Eukaryota; Metazoa; Arthropoda; Branchiopoda; Diplostraca; Daphniidae
Description: uncharacterized LOC116918583, transcript variant X3
Source: RNAcentral